Molecule: long non-coding RNA, 6106 nt
Filed under: Vigna radiata
Lineage: Eukaryota; Viridiplantae; Streptophyta; Magnoliopsida; Fabales; Fabaceae
Description: long non-coding RNA (VRAD_LNC000414)
Source: RNAcentral
CUGGGGAAUAAUCCUUGAUUUAUGUAUACCACCUAGGGAUAGGGGGGGUUGAACAAUCAAUUGUUUGUCACUUCUGUUUAUAAUGCAUUAUCGGUUACUAAGGGAGGCUAGGGAUAACAAGCCGGUAAUCUUUAAUAGGCUCUUUUCGCCAAGGGAUUGGGUUAAGGGUAGGCUAAGAAAGUUGCAUGGUAAUUGAUUAAUCAAGCGGAUUAAAUAAGAAGAGUAGAUAUAAGAGAGGAUAAAGGUGAAAUUGUAAACCCUAACAACUCCAUUCAUCCAUAGUUUCUCUCAUCAAUUGAAUCAACGCAUUGCAUGUUUAUUUUGUGUUUUUGCAUAAACCACUUUUAAGUUUUAUUUCUACAAGUCUUAAGAUUUCCGUUCACACGAAAGAUAAGGCCUUGUGAGUCCUUUGGGAAAACGAUACUCGGACUUACCGUUUUAUUAUUACUUGCAUACGAUCUGGUACACUUGUCAGUGACUCAACAAGUUUUUGGCGCCGUUGCCGGGGACUCUUGGUUUAACUUAUCUAGUAGUGUGAAUUGAUUGAAUUUGACUUGAUUUUUUUUUGUUUAUUUUUAUUUUUGUUCUUAUAAAUGUUCUCUAUGGUUUUGUGCCUAAUGAUUGCAGAAUGCAGUUUGGACAAGAACUUGAUUAUACGGGCACUCAAUUCUACCAAAAUAAUUUCAACCACUGGUGGGAACCUCAUUCAAGCAUAGAUCAAACCCAAUUUGGGCAAACUGUCAAGCAACAAUCCUCUAAGCCAAAAGGAACAUUAGGGGAAACUAAACAACGGUUGCAAGAUGAACAAGUCUCUGAUGCAUUAAUCUCCUUGGGAAUUACUAGGGUUAAUAACAAAGUUAACCCUAAUGAAGAAUGUCAAGCCACUAUCUUUGAAGAUGACAAGGUUAUUGAUGAAGGUAAGAUAGAAGAUGAAGAGAUAACAAAGGUAUUGAAGUCUCUGGGCAUUAUUAGGGAUAACACUGAAGUUAACCUUAAGAAAGAAUGUCAAGCCACUAUCUUUGAAGACGACAAUGUUAUUUAUGAAGAGAAGAUAGAGGAAGAAGAGAUAACAAAUGCAUUGAGGUUCCUAGGCAUUAUCUGGGUUAAUACUGAAAUAAAUCCUAAAGAUGAUAGUCAAGAUAUUAUCUUUGAAAAAUAAAGGAUUGUUACUGAGGAAAAGGUGGAAGAAAAAAGUUAAGUGAGGAAGAGUAAGUUGAACAGAGAGAAAAAGAAGUGGUUGAAAGAAAAGAAAAAAAGAGAAAAAUUAAAAAAAUAAAGAAAGAAAGAAAAAAGAAAAAGAGGGAGAAGGGAAAGAAGAAAAGAUCAUAUGAACAACCUUUUUUUCAUAUAAAGAGAAAUCGUAGGAAGAGAAAGAAACUCAAGUAUUUUAUGAAGAUCUUCAAGAGAUUCGGGAUUAAAGCUCCUAUGAUUGAAACAUGGAAACAGAUGUUUGAUGUUAUUAAUUUUUUUGAAGAAAUUCAGCAGGAAGAAGAAAAUAAAAGUGUGCCAAGCACACAAAGUUUAACACUUACUGAUGGGUGUUUGAACUUCAUUGAGUCAAGCUAGUGACGUUAAAGAAGCGCUUGCUGGGAGGCAACCCAGUCAAUUGUUUGUUUAUUUUUGUUUUGUUUUUCUAUUUAUGUCUUUUGGACAUUGUAGGUUUGCAUGUACAUUUGAGUAAGGAAAAUCUUAAAAAUUAAAAUUUAGGGUUAAGAUCAGGUGGUACAGGGAGAAUUCGCACAAAGGCAAAACAAAAAGAAGAGAAGGGAAAUUUCCGCUCACCGCCGGGCGGUGCAACUUUGCCGCUGGGUAGUGGCGGCGAAAACCAAACCCAAGCCUCUUAAAAGCUGGGUUGUUCUAGGUUUUCUGCACUUCAAUCCUUCCCUUUGAGUUGCGCCAAGGUGGUCUCCACGGGUUCUAGCACCAGAUUUGCACUUUAAAGUGGGUUCUAAAGGGAUUUUUCUACACUUUCUUACCACCCACUCACAAAAACUUUGUUUCUUGCUUAAAAUUUGGGGUUUUUUAGUGAGAGUUGCAAUUUGAGAGUUUUUCAUCAUCAAUCAAAGGAAUUUGUGCAAACAUCUAGCAUCUCCACUCAAGUAAGUUGUGUAAUUACAUUCUCCAGUUUUUAAUUUUGAGAUUUGAUGAGGAACAUGUUUAGGAACAUGUUUAGGAACAUGACAAAUUAGGGUUUUGAAUUUCUUUGCAUGAAUUGUUGAAUUAGAAACUGAUUGGAUCAAUUGAGUUGUUGAAAUUAUGUCUUCUUGGAUAGAUUUAGCAUUUGAGUGGAGUUUAGGGAAGUUUUAAAUAAAAUUUUUGAAUGACCCUAUGAACCGCCGGACGGUAUCCUUCACCUCUGGGCGGUAUUGUUGUGAUGAAUUCCGCCGGGCGGUCACCACUGGACGCCGGGCGGUUUGGCUGUUUUGUUUAUUGGUUGCUCCAAUUUCUUAGGUGAAGAAUCAGAAAAGGGGAACCUUGUUUCACCCUUAGUUGAAUGCGGAUUUUUGAUGAUUAUUAACCUUUAACGAUAUAUUCCUAUGGUUUGUUUUAAAUUGGAUAUUGUGUAGGAAUGGCAUCAUCAUCACGCAGGGAGAGAAAUGUUGGAAAAAGAAGGAUGGUGGAAGAGCUAGAGGAAUUUGACUCUCAUAAAUUUCUUUCCAAGCACCAUCAGGAUCAUUAUGCAACAGUUCAGCAGAGAAAGUUGUUUAUGGAGAGAAAAGCUGCAUUCGUUACUAGGGCAGCCCCUGCUUUUGGAUUGGAGAUUGUGAGAAGAGACUGGGAGAGGCUGACUAGUUACCCUACACCAGCAAGCAUUGAGUUGGUACAGGAAUUCUAUACCAAUGUUAUAUCUAGGGGAAGAGUGUCAACUGGGAAGUACAGGAGCUUUGUUAGAGGGCAUCUCAUCAAGUAUGACCCUGACACCAUUAACAAUUUCUUGGGUACUGAAUGGCCAGGGGAGCAGUGCCAAUAUGCAACACGAGUUGGUAUGUUUAAUGACACAGCUGAAAUUGAAAAGGUUCUGUGUCUACUUGGGAGACAUUUUCAGACUAACCCUAAUGGAGUUCUAGUCAACAUUAGGAGGUUGGAUAUGAUACCUUUGGCACAAUAUUGGAUGGCACUCUCUCAUGCCAACAUCCAGCCUUGCUCCCAUCUUUCUGAUGUCACCAUACAUAAGGUCAUUCUCUUAUAUUGCAUAAUGAGCCAGCUGGAUGUGAAUGUUGGCCAAAUCAUUGCUGAUGAGAUACAGAGUUGUGCUACUACAGUUAGUAGCAGAACACCACUAGGACAUCCGUCCUUGAUUACUUAUCUGUUUCAACAAGCUGGGGUGGAGGCAGUUCCCCCAUAUGAGAGGCCCAAGACUGCUAUUGAUACAUCCUAUUUCAAACAGUACUGUGCUGAAGCAGAGGUGGCAGACGAAGCACCUAGGAGACGCCGGAGGAGAGUAGCAGCACAGCAGGAGUAGGUACCUGCUGAUGCACCAGCACAACAUGCAGAGCCAUUUCAGAUGAGGGACAUGUAUAUGUCCAUGAUGGAGGCUAGGAUGGAGGCUCUUCACAGGGGGUAGUUAGCUACUGCCGAGAUGAUAAUUGGGUUGUAUAAUCAACCUCCAGCACAUAUGUGGACCAUGGAUGAGUUUCAGGCAACAAUGGGUUGGCCUCAUUAGCAGGGACAGAGCAGUGGAGCUGGUGCAGCUAGAGCACCAAUUAUAGAUGAAGAUGUUGGAGAUAGUGAUGAUGAGGACCAGGAGGACUCUGAUGACAACAUGGGUUGAUUGAGGACAUUUACUGAUGGAUGUCCAUGUAUUAGACAGAGUUGUAGUUCUAAACUUUUGCACUUUUGAAUUCCUAGAACAGGUUGAAUUUUAUUUUGUGUCUGUUGGCUUGUAUACUUUUUUGAAAAUGUUUGACUGAAUAACUGCGUGAUGAAACUGUUUGAUGAUGAUCUGAUGUGGUUGAAAAAUUGAGUUGUGAUGCAUGGUAAAAUUUUGUGAAACAGAUGAGUGAGAAAUUAUGAUUGUGAUUGUGAUGCUAAGCAAGAUGUAUGAAUGAGUACUAUGUGAGAAAGCAUGUGUGAGGAAUUGAGCUCCAGAGUUUUUCAUUGUGUAUGUAUUGUUUACAGGGAAGCAUGAAUGAUAUUGCCUAAGUCUUAAUGAUAUAUUGAAUUGCAUGUGAAGGUCAUAUGAUUAAGGCCAUCUUUGAUAACCCUUUUCUGGCCAAAUUUUCACCCUCAGUGCUUAAUUGUUUAUACCCUUCUUGAACCUUAGCCUUAAACAGAAUGUGAACCCUUAUUGUGUAUUCUUUAUCUUGAGUUGAGUUGAGCUUAAAUAUAAUUGAUACAAAGGUUCAAGUUUGGGGUGACAGGGGGGAAAUUUGAAAAAGCAAGUGAAAAGCAUCGAGUUCAAAAGAAUUGAAAGAGAAAUAUGCAUGAGAAAAAGAAAAGUAAAGAAUAAAUGCAUGAAAAAGAGCUCAAUGCAAAAGAAAAGAAAAGGAAGAAGUUGGGAAAUAAGAGAACUUGGUGAGGAGAAGAGUUGUGCUUGAUUAUGAAUAAUGUGAUAGCUCUCUUAACUCAAGAACUUUGAAUUCUAGAAAAACCAUGUUUCUUGUUAGCCCAACCUCAUUACAAGCCUUGGAAAAGUCCUUUUGAUGGCAUUUGCAUACAAAGAUUUUGAUUGUUUUAGAUGAAUGACAAUGUUGUUUUAUGUGACUUGUGAAUGAUAGAGAGUUGGAGUGUCACCAUAAACACUUGAGUGAUUGAGUGAAGCACUUGCCCAGUGAGAAUUGAUGAUUUCAUGAUUGCAUUUUUGAUUCGUGGAUUGGUCAUUCAUAAUGUUUAACAUCUGUUGAAAACUGAACUAAAUUGAAAACAUGUUUGCAUCUUGAUUUGAUUCCACUGAAAAUCUUAAUUGAGAAGUUUGUGUCAUGCAUGUCAGGAAUGUUGAACUAUUGGACGAAGAAGUAGAAAGCCAAGUUUUGUUUUGUGUCUUGUUUUGUUUGGUUUGCUUGAGGACAAGCAGAAUUCAAAGUUUGGGGUUGUGAUAAAGGUUUAAAAACAGCUAUUUUCAUAUGUCAAUUCAUACCAAAUUACACCCUUUAAGACUUAGAAUGAGCUUAGAAUCAUGCAUAAUUCAAUAAAUGAGUCAAGUGAGAGUCAAAAUUCGUUUUUAGCGAUAUUAUGCUUGUUUUGCAUUGUUUUGCAGCGUUUUUGAGGAAAGUGAAGAUUGGAGCUAAAAGUAAAGGUCAGAGACUCAAGAUUUGAGAAGAAAAAUGAAGAAAAGAAGAGUCGAAAGACCGCCGGGCGGUAGACCCUUGCCGCAGGGCGGUCAAGCACGUGGAAUUGGUAGCAAAAUAGGACGCCAGGCGGUUUUGCGAUACGAGGCAAACCGCCGGGCGGUGGACCCUUGACGCCGGGCGGUGGCGCGUCAAUGAGGGAAACCGUCGGGCGGUGUAAGUGUGGCGCCGAGCGGUUUCUAAUUGGGCCUGGGCCUGUUUUCUGCGAUUCUCCUCAGUUAUAAAUAACCUGUUUACGAAGUUUUACUCAUUCUUUUGACGAGGAGGAUGGCCAGACCUAAUUUUCUCUCCCUGGAGAAGAUUUCUUGGAUGCUUCUGCUCCUUUUCAUCUCAUUUAGGGUUUCCUUUUCCAUUCUUCUUUCAUUAUUCAUCUAGGUUCACCAUGUCUAUGGUGAACUAAACCCUCUUGUUGUUAGAGAACAAUGUAAUCUUUUGAAACUCUUUUAUAUUGAAAGUCUUAUUUAUCUAUAUGCUUGCAUAUGCUUUGAUUAUCAAUUAUUGGGUUUUCCUUCUACACUUAAUGCUUUUAUCGUUUAACUCAUUCGAUAAUUGUUGUUUGUAUUUAUUGAUACGGGAACGUACAGUAAUGUCAUGAACUGGGGAAUAAUCCUUGAUUUAUGUAUACCACCUAGGGAUAAGGGGGUUGAACAAUCAAUUGUUUGUCACUUCUGUUUAUAAUGCAUUAUCGGUUACUAGGGGAGGCUAGGGAUAGCAAGCNGGUAAUCUUUAAUAGGCUCUUUUCGCCAAGGGAUUGGGUUAAGGGUAGGCUAAGAAAGUUGCAUGGUAAUUGAUUAAUCAAGCGGAUUAAAUAAGAGGAG